Molecule: ribosomal RNA, 369 nt
Filed under: uncultured bacterium
Lineage: Bacteria
Description: bacterial SSU rRNA
Rfam family: Bacterial small subunit ribosomal RNA
Source: RNAcentral
GUAGGGUGCGAGCGUUAAUCGGAAUUACUGGGCGUAAAGCGUGCGCAGGCGGUUCGUUGUGUCGGCGGUGAAAGCCCCGGGCUUAACCUGGGAAUGGCCGUUGAAACUGGCGAACUGGAGUGUGGCAGAGGGGGGUGGAAUUCCGCGUGUAGCAGUGAAAUGCGUAGAGAUGCGGAGGAACACCGAUGGCGAAGGCAGCCCCCUGGGCUAACACUGACGCUCAGGCACGAAAGCGUGGGGAGCAAACAGGAUUAGAUACCCUGGUAGUCCACGCCCUAAACCAUGUCAACUGGGUGUUCGGGAAGCGAUUUCUGAGUACCGUAGCUAACGCGUGAAGUUGACCGCCUGGGGAGUACGGCCGCAAGGUUA